GUAACACGUAGGUAACCUGCCCAUGUGCCCGGGAUAACUUCUGGAAACGGAUGCUAAAACCGGAUAGGUAGCAGACAAGCAUUUGACUGCUAUUAAAGUGGCUAAGGCCAUGAACAUGGAUGGACCUGCGGUGCAUUAGCUAGUUGGUGAGGUAACGGCCCACCAAGGCGACGAUGCAUAGCCGGCCUGAGAGGGCGGACGGCCACAUUGGGACUGAGACACGGCCCAAACUCCUACGGGAGGCAGCAUG
RNAcentral lists this ribosomal RNA (250 nucleotides) under uncultured bacterium. Its description in RNAcentral is "partial 16S ribosomal RNA". It matches the Rfam family "Bacterial small subunit ribosomal RNA", at positions 110 to 353 of the family's 1533-position model. The record is from RNAcentral.